This is a regulatory RNA element of 93 nucleotides. It matches the Rfam family "pan motif". The record is from Rfam.
UGGACAGUAUCAUUUCGAACUGUACCUUUCUAGGCGUUAAACAAAACAAUUAAAAAGAUCUGCCUUGAUCCAAUGAGAGACAGGGACGGAAGA